CACAUUCGACCAGCGUUUCCAUCUGAUCCACCAACCUCCACCCGUCUCUCACCUCUCCCCGCCCCUGUCCAAUCCACUGAUUCCGCCCCGACACCCUCCACCCCUCCCCUCGCGUAGCCCCAACGUCCGGCACCCUCCCCCUCCUCUUCAUCUCCUGCGCCGUGCGCUCGGCCCUGCCUUCCUCCACCACAAGCCACGGCCUCCCUCCUGUGCCGCCACGCCUCCAGGGCACGAGCCGCGAGCGCAUCGACCCGGUGGAGUCCAUUUGCCAUGCCCACUGCCACCAACAGCGCGCACUCGGCACCCCCUUCCUCCUCCACGAGCUGUGGCACCCCUCCUCCUCCGCAGCGCCGCCUGGGCGCGAGCCAUGGGCGGAUCGAGCCGGUGGAGUCCAUCCGCCACGAUCGCUGCCACCAACUGAAUCCAAACGCCUCAGCUGAUCCGCCCAAAGGCUAUCUCCACCUUCCUCCACGCAGAUCCAGGCAUCCCCUUCUCCCUUGCUUCCAAUUCCUCACCGUCGGGCGUGCAGACUGCUGAGGGGAUCCAUCUGCACCUGGGUUGACUUCUGUCUUCACUGGUGCGGAGGCUCUAGGUCCGCCCUGGAUUAGACUUUUGAAUUGGCGAUCAAUGACUGUUGUAGAUGCCGAAAAAUCUAGGCAAAUUAAGUGAAGGGAUCCUUUGCUGGCUGAGGAACAAAUAGAUCUUUCAAUCACUAGAUGUGAUUAGGCCUUCAGCCAUGCAGAAAUCCAAUGCAUAGGCCUUUCCUACUAUUAUCUUCGAGGAUGCUCUUCGGAGAGAAAUGGAGUAUCGUAAGAGAUUGCAGAGGACUCACCCUCAUCUACUGAUUGCCCUCAAUGGAGACCCUGAACGGCAUAAAGAGGUCGGUAAAGAUUCAAUAUGUGAUGAUUUUAAGAGAAAGUUCACCCCAGAUAGCACUAUACCUCAACAGCAGUCUAGUUUCAGUUGUUCCGCUGUACAGAGACAGACAGCUAUCAGUUGUUCCGCUGUACAGAGACAGACAGCUAAUUGGUACCCCAUCAAGAAAAAAGUGAAAGUUCCACCCCUUCCUUCCCAGAUUCUGCAGUGUCCUAGACCAAAUGUGGUACCUUCUUUUUGGUGUAAGAUUUGCAAGGUUGAUUGUGUUUCUGAAUUCAGUUUCGCUGCCCACAUUGGAGGGAAAAAACAUAAGGCUAAAAAGCUGGAGAUCUUUGGAAAUAGGAACACUGGGGUUAGUGUUCGGGUACUAGGAAUCCUGUGCAAAAUAGCCAUGCAGUCUCUGGAAGCAGAAACAGUGAAUCAAAUGUGUCUAGUGGUAUUGUUUCUGCAAGCUGUGAUCUGUCAUCUAGAAGAUGAACUAAUGGAAUAGAAGAAAGUGGAUGCACUGCCCCACAAAUGAGCAGCAUGAGUUUUACUGAAAUCUGAUGUCUAUAAUAUGCUCCUUGUGCAUUUUCCUCUGAAACGUAGAGUAAUGUGUUAAGUUCUCAAACAAUCAGUGCACUAUGGAAAUUUCAUCUUAUGGUGUUGUACCAUGCAACAAUACAUAAGUUGAAAAAGGUUGCAGUACCCUAUUGGGGACGCUAUCUAUAUAUGCAAGAUUGGUGCUAGUCAGUUUUCUUACUUCUUUCUUGAUUAGGAGGUAAAAACUCAGAAGCUAGUGCUGAUAAAUUACUAGAUCAUUUUGGCUGAAGGCAUGAAUGUGUAUAAUGGAGACGGUCUGGUGAGCCAUAUUGUAGCAUUUGCAGGUUAUUGAUUUAUUAUUCUGUAGUAGAUAGCUGUAAACUAGCAAAUGACUACAAUAUUAGUUAAAUAUCAAUCCCAUUACAUCCAA
RNA transcript from Panicum virgatum (switchgrass), 1828 nucleotides. RefSeq lists it as uncharacterized. The record is from RefSeq and is a predicted model, not a curated record. NCBI's taxonomy places the organism in Eukaryota, Viridiplantae, Streptophyta, Magnoliopsida, Poales, Poaceae. The transcript is spliced from 4 exons.